Molecule: ribosomal RNA, 490 nt
Filed under: uncultured bacterium
Lineage: Bacteria
Description: partial 16S ribosomal RNA
Rfam family: Bacterial small subunit ribosomal RNA
Source: RNAcentral
AUUGAACGCUGGCGGCAGGCCUAACACAUGCAAGUCGAAUGGUAACAGGAAACAGCUUGCUGUUUCGCUGACGAGUAGCGGACGGGUGAGUAAUGUCUGGGAAACUGCCUGAUGGAGGGGGAUAACUACUGGAAACGGUAGCUAAUACCGCAUAACGUCGCAAGACCAAAGAGGGGGACCUUCGGGCCUCUUGCCAUCAGAUGUGCCCAGAUGGGAUUAGCUAGUAGGUGGGGUAACGGCUCACCUAGGCGACGAUCCCUAGCUGGUCUGAGAGGAUGACCAGCCACACUGGAACUGAGACACGGUCCAGACUCCUACGGGAGGCAGCAGUGGGGAAUAUUGCACAAUGGGCGCAAGCCUGAUGCAGCCAUGCCGCGUGUAUGAAGAAGGCCUUCGGGUUGUAAAGUACUUUCAGCGGGGAGGAAGGGAGUAAAGUUAAUACCUUUGCUCAUUGACGUUACCCGCAGAAGAAGCACCGGCUAACUCCGUG